RNAcentral lists this long non-coding RNA (1014 nucleotides) under Daphnia magna. RNAcentral describes it as "uncharacterized LOC123471615". The record is from RNAcentral. Lineage: Eukaryota; Metazoa; Arthropoda; Branchiopoda; Diplostraca; Daphniidae.
AGACGCUUAGUUCUUGAGUACUGCUAUUGUUACUCGUCAAACUAACUGGACUUCCUAAUCCACCACUGCCGCUGCUGGUACUAGCCAAACUCGAACGAUCGCCGUUGCGCUCAUCAUUAGUUCCUCCAUUUGUUACUGGCUGUUGGAUGGCUGUUGAUCUUUGCGGCAGGGAUUCUUGUCCAGGAGAGGUACCGUUCUAAGUUUAAAUUGAACAAAUUAAUUGACGAUUAAUAAAAUUUACAAACGAAAUGCCACGAAGCCAUACAAAACACGGUACAUUGACCACGACGUACAUCAAGGAAGGUAUUGGGUAAAUCAGCUACAGAAUAUUCUAAUCCACUGUAUAAGGCAUUACAUACGAUAUAUCAAGGAAGUUAAUCUACAAUAAAACAUCGGUUUGCGGCAAAACGUAGAAACCCAAAGAAACUUGCCAAAUACCCAUAGGCGUUACAGUAUGCAAGUUGGCAGAAAAGAGUUAACGUGACAUGUGGCUUCAGAAUAAAACGUGAAAAGGACAGAUGGACUAGAACUGGGGCCGAACAAACAGGACAAUAAGCAGAAAAUAAUAAUAAUAAGGGGAGAGUACCUUCCUACAGAAUACGGUGCUCAUCACGUUCAUGCAGAUACCGACGGGUCGUCUUACCUCCGAGCUGGUGGUGGUAGCGGUGGUGUCCCCUCCCUUGUCAACGACUUUUGCUAUUUGAUUAUUGGAGUGAUGGCCUAUUUUGUUGUUAUUUCGAUUGGCAUCUUUGGCUCCACUGUCUGGAGCACCGAUGUUGCCGCCAUUCGCCGGUAGAAGUUGGAUCACUUCAGUCGAGCUUAGCACCUGGUACGCGAAUAAGGCUAAUCCAGACGUCGGUCGAACUUUGCUGUUGACUCCCGGAAACGUCUGAAGAAGAACAUAAAGGUAUGUUUAAUUGAAAUCGAAAAAUUUCUUAUGACCAUGAAAAUUGCCUUGAUCAUUGCUCCAGACACUUCUGCAAAUAAAAGAUGAUCGGGAGAGAUUUGGCACAA